UCACUUCGGCAGUGAGUAUGGUAAAACUGGAAUGGUACAGAGAAGAUUAGCAAGCCCCCUGAACUAAGAUGACAUUCAAGUUUGUGAAAUAUUUAUAUCCUUC
This is a small nuclear RNA of Suricata suricatta (meerkat), 103 nucleotides long. NCBI's taxonomy places the organism in Eukaryota, Metazoa, Chordata, Mammalia, Carnivora, Herpestidae. The record is from Ensembl.